GACCCGCGCCGGCCCGGUUUGGCAGGCGUGGCCCGCUGGCGUCGGGCCAGGUCAUCCGUAUGAUCCUCGUGCCGCCGGAUGC
RNAcentral lists this transfer RNA (82 nucleotides) under Deinococcus ruber. RNAcentral describes it as "tRNA-Ala". Lineage: Bacteria; Thermotogati; Deinococcota; Deinococci; Deinococcales; Deinococcaceae. The record is from RNAcentral.